GAAAUGCGAUAAGUAAUGUGAAUUGCAGAAUUCAGUGAAUCAUCGAAUCUUUGAACGCACCUUGCGCUCCUUGGUAUUCCGAGGAGCAUGCCUGUUUGAGUGUCAUUAAUAUAAUCAACCUUCUCUUGUUUUGAGAAUGGUUUGGAUGUGGGGGGUUUGCUGGCCUCUCUCAAAAGGUUCAGCUCCCCUGAAAUGCAUUAGCAGAACAACCUUUGCUCAUUGGUGUGAUAACUAUCUACGCUUAUGAAUAUGAGGGGCAGUUCAGCUUUCUAACGGUCUUUGGACAAUUCAUCAUUAAUGUGACCUCAAAUCAGGUAGGACUACCCGCUGAACUUAA
Molecule: unclassified non-coding RNA, 337 nt
Filed under: uncultured Cortinarius
Lineage: Eukaryota; Fungi; Basidiomycota; Agaricomycetes; Agaricales; Cortinariaceae
Description: sequence contains ITS1
Rfam family: 5.8S ribosomal RNA (bases 1-105)
Source: RNAcentral